This 440-nucleotide ribosomal RNA is filed under the name uncultured bacterium. RNAcentral's name for it is "partial 16S ribosomal RNA". It matches the Rfam family "Bacterial small subunit ribosomal RNA", at positions 338 to 795 of the family's 1533-position model. The record is from RNAcentral.
CCUACGGGUGGCAGCAGUAGGGAAUAUUGCUCAAUGGGGGAAACCCUGAAGCAGCAACGCCGCGUGGAGGAUGAAGGUUUUCGGAUUGUAAACUCGCUUUGUUAGAGAAGAUAAUGACGGUAUCUAACGAAUAAGCACCGGCUAACUCCGUGCCAGCAGCCGCGGUAAUACGGAGGGUGCAAGCGUUACUCGGAAUCACUGGGCGUAAAGAGCGCGUAGGCGGGAUAGCAAGUCAGAUGUGAAAUCCUAUGGCUUAACCAUAGAACUGCAUUUGAAACUGUUAUUCUAGAGUAUGGGAGAGGUAGGUGGAAUUCUUGGUGUAGGGGUAAAAUGCGUAGAGAUCAAGAGGAAUACUCAUUGCGAAGGCGGCCUGUUAGAACAUAACUGACGCUGAUGCGCGAAAGCGUGGGGAGCAAACAGGAUUAGAUACCCCAGUAGUC